This 405-nucleotide ribosomal RNA is filed under the name uncultured bacterium. RNAcentral describes it as "bacterial SSU rRNA". It matches the Rfam family "Bacterial small subunit ribosomal RNA", at positions 354 to 776 of the family's 1533-position model. The record is from RNAcentral.
GUGGGGAAUCUUAGACAAUGGGCGCAAGCCUGAUCUAGCGAUGCCGCGUGAGUGAUGAAGGUCUUAGGAUCGUAAAGCUCUUUCGCCAGGGAUGAUAAUGACAGUACCUGGUAAAGAAACCCCGGCUAACUCCGUGCCAGCAGCCGCGGUAAUACGGAGGGGGUUAGCGUUGUUCGGAAUUACUGGGCGUAAAGCGCACGUAGGCGGAUCAGUAAGUUAGAGGUGAAAUCCCAGGGCUCAACCCUGGAACUGCCUUUAAUACUGCUAGUCUUGAGUUCGAGAGAGGUGAGUGGAAUUCCUAGUGUAGAGGUGAAAUUCGUAGAUAUUAGGAGGAACACCAGUGGCGAAGGCGGCUCACUGGCUCGAUACUGACGCUGAGGUGCGAAAGCGUGGGGAGCAAACAGG